Molecule: ribosomal RNA, 438 nt
Filed under: uncultured bacterium
Lineage: Bacteria
Description: bacterial SSU rRNA
Rfam family: Bacterial small subunit ribosomal RNA
Source: RNAcentral
GCGGAGGCAGCAGUGGGGAAUAUUGGACAAUGGACCAUAAGUCUGAUCCAGCAAUUCCGUGUGCACGAUGACGGUCUUAGGAUUGUAAAGUGCUUUCAAUCGGGAAAAAGAAAGUGAUGGUACCGAUAGAAGAAGCGACGGCUAAAUACGUGCCAGCAGCCGCGGUAAUACGUAUGUCGCAAGCGUUAUCCGGAUUUAUUGGGCGUAAAGCGCGUCUAGGCGGUUUGGUAAGUCUGAUGUGGAAAUGCGGGGCUCAACUCCGUAUUGCGUUGGAAACUGCCGAACUAGAGUACUGGAGAGGUGGGCGGAACUACAAGUGUAGAGGUGAAAUUCGUAGAUAUUUGUAGGAAUGCCGAUAGAGAGGUCAGCUCACUGGACAGAUACUGACGCUGAAGCGCGAAAGCAUGGGGAGCAAACAGGAUUAGAUACCCCGGUAGU